UCUCUGAGCCUUGGCCUCCUCUUCCUCUUGGUCUCGGUUAUAAAUGGUGGUGGUGGCUGCUGCCAAGAGCUCCUCCGAGAAGGUGUUAGACGUCGUGUGAGCUGUUGGAGCUUUCUCUGGGUGUCUGGAGCAGAUUGGUGCCUCCUUUUGGCUGCGGUUCCCAAGUGGACAGCAGAGUCGCAGAGGCCACCCUCCUGAUGGUCCCCUGCACACUGGCCCUUGACGGAGGCUGUGGAGGAACAGCGGUGACAAGCGAAGGCGACGGCCCCAGGUGCUGUCUCACCAGGUCCUGCCUGUGGCUGUCUGAGGCACACGUGAUGCAGACUCAAUAGGCCUCCUCUCAACUCUGGGGUCUCCAGUAGCUGCCUGCUCCCUGGCCUACCGUGAGUCCGUGAAGCCCCUCGUGGCCUAUCUGCCCCUCAUUCACCUCUGCCCCUCA
Bubalus bubalis (water buffalo) is the source of this 439-nucleotide long non-coding RNA. RefSeq lists it as uncharacterized. The record is from RefSeq and is a predicted model, not a curated record. The transcript has 3 exons. NCBI's taxonomy places the organism in Eukaryota, Metazoa, Chordata, Mammalia, Artiodactyla, Bovidae.